RNAcentral lists this ribosomal RNA (252 nucleotides) under uncultured bacterium. Its description in RNAcentral is "partial 16S ribosomal RNA". It matches the Rfam family "Bacterial small subunit ribosomal RNA", at positions 524 to 776 of the family's 1533-position model. The record is from RNAcentral.
UACGUAGGGGGCGAGCGUUAUCCGGAAUUAUUGGGCGUAAAGGGUGCGUAGGCGGCCAUUUAAGUCAGGUGUGAAAGGUUACGGCUCAACCGUAAUUAGCACAUGAAACUGGGUGGCUUGAGUGCAGGAGAGGAGAGUGGAAUUCCUAGUGUAGCGGUGAAAUGCGUAGAUAUUAGGAGGAACACCAGUGGCGAAGGCGACUCUCUGGACUGUAACUGACGCUGAGGCACGAGAGCGUGGGGAGCGAACAGG